RNAcentral lists this long non-coding RNA (512 nucleotides) under Brassica napus (rape). RNAcentral describes it as "long non-coding RNA (BNAP_LNC024630)". Lineage: Eukaryota; Viridiplantae; Streptophyta; Magnoliopsida; Brassicales; Brassicaceae. The record is from RNAcentral.
UCUUAUGCCAUUGUUUUUUAUAUAUAUAAUAAAUAAAUAUUUAAAUAAAUAAAAAUCUUAAACUCUAAAACUAAACUCUAAAUCCUAAACCAUCAAUCUUAAACCUUUUUUUUUUAUGAAAUACGAACCCUAAACCCUAAACCAUCAAUCCUAAACCUUUUUUUUUUAAAAAAACGAACCCUAAACCCUGAAACCUCAACUCUAAACCAUAAACCCCGAAACAUCAACUCUAAACCCUAAACCUUCAACUCUAAACCCUAAAACAUCAACUCUAAACCCUAAACCCUAAACUUCAACUCUAAACCCUAAACCAUCAACACUAAACCCUAAACUAUUAACACUAAACCCUAAACCCUAAAAAGUAAACUCUAAACCCUAAACCCGAAAAAUUUAACCAUAAACCCUAAAACAUAAACUCUAAAUCCUAAACCUUCAACUCUAAACCCUAAAACCUAAACCCUAAAUCAUAAAUCCUAAACCCUGAGUAUAGAGUUAGUUAGAUAAUUUUAAAA